GUGCUCACUUUUGUAGCAAAUAUACUAAAAUUGGAACGAUACAGAGAAGACUAGCGUGCAUGGCCCCUACACAAGGAUGACACACAGAUUCAUGAAGCAUUCCAUAUUUUU
Arvicanthis niloticus (Nile rat) is the source of this 111-nucleotide small nuclear RNA. NCBI's taxonomy places the organism in Eukaryota, Metazoa, Chordata, Mammalia, Rodentia, Muridae. The record is from RefSeq and is a predicted model, not a curated record.